RNAcentral lists this ribosomal RNA (253 nucleotides) under uncultured bacterium. RNAcentral's name for it is "partial 16S ribosomal RNA". It matches the Rfam family "Bacterial small subunit ribosomal RNA", at positions 524 to 776 of the family's 1533-position model. The record is from RNAcentral.
UACAGAGGUGGCAAGCGUUGUUCGGAAUUACUGGGCGUAAAGAGCUCGUAGGCGGUCUGUCGCGUCGGAUGUGAAAAUCCAGGGCUCAACCCUGGACCUGCAUUCGAUACGGGCAGACUAGAGUUCGGUAGGGGAGACUGGAAUUCCUGGUGUAGCGGUGAAAUGCGCAGAUAUCAGGAGGAACACCGGUGGCGAAGGCGGGUCUCUGGGCCGAAACUGACGCUGAGGAGCGAAAGCGUGGGGAGCAAACAGG